CAGCACCUCAAGUGGUCAGGAUGAUUAUUGGGCCUAAAGCAUCCGUAGCCUGCUUUGUUAGUUUUCGGUUAAAUCCAUACGCUCAACGUAUGGGCUGCCGGGAAUACUGCAAAGCUAGGGAGUGGGAGAGGUAGACGGUACUCGGUAGGAAGGGGUAAAAUCCUUUGAUCUAUUGAUGACCACCUGUGGCGAAGGCGGUCUACCAGAACACGUCCGACGGUGAGGGAUGAAAGCUGGGGGAGCAAACCGGAUUAGAUACCCGAGUAGUCC
Molecule: ribosomal RNA, 270 nt
Filed under: uncultured archaeon
Lineage: Archaea
Description: partial 16S ribosomal RNA
Rfam family: Archaeal small subunit ribosomal RNA
Source: RNAcentral